AUACGAGGGGUGCAAGCGUUAAUCGGAAUUACUGGGCGUAAAGCGUUCGUAGGCGGUUUGUUAAGCAAGAUGUGAAAGCCCUGGGCUCAACCUGGGAACUGCAUUUUGAACUGGCAAGCUAGAAUACUGUAGAGGGUGGUGGAAUUUCCAGUGAAGCGGUGAAAUGCGUAGAGAUUGGAAGGAACAUCAGUGGCGAAGGCGGCCACCUGGACAGAUAUUGACGCUGAGGAACGAAAGCGUGGGGAGCGAACAGGAUUAGAAACCCCUGUAGUCC
RNAcentral lists this ribosomal RNA (274 nucleotides) under uncultured bacterium. RNAcentral's name for it is "partial 16S ribosomal RNA". It matches the Rfam family "Bacterial small subunit ribosomal RNA", at positions 523 to 796 of the family's 1533-position model. The record is from RNAcentral.